CCUAACACAUGCAAGUCGAGCGGAAACGAGUUAACUGACCCUUCGGGUGACGUUAACGGCGUCGAGCGGCGGACGGGUGAGUAAUGCCUGGGAAAUUGCCCUGAUGUGGGGGAUAACCAUUUGGAAACGAUGGCUAAUACCGCAUAAUGCCUUCGGGCCAACGAGGGGGACCUUCGGGGCCUCUCGCGUCAGGAUAUGCCCAGGUGGGAUUAGCUAGUUGGUGAGGUAAUGGCUCACCAAGGCGACGAUCCCUAGCUGGUCUGAGAGGAUGAUCAGCCACACUGGAACUGAGACACGGUCCAGACUCCUACGGGAGGCAGCAGUGGGGAAUAUUGCACAAUGGGCGCAAGCCUGAUGCAGCCAUGCCGCGUGUGUGAAGAAGGCCUUCGGGUUGUAAAGCACUUUCAGCAGUGAGGAAGGCGGGUACGUUAAUAGCGUGCUCGUUUGACGUUAGCUGCAGAAGAAGCACCGGCUAACUCCGUG
Molecule: ribosomal RNA, 483 nt
Filed under: uncultured bacterium
Lineage: Bacteria
Description: bacterial SSU rRNA
Rfam family: Bacterial small subunit ribosomal RNA
Source: RNAcentral